Molecule: ribosomal RNA, 479 nt
Filed under: uncultured bacterium
Lineage: Bacteria
Description: partial 16S ribosomal RNA
Rfam family: Bacterial small subunit ribosomal RNA
Source: RNAcentral
AACGAACGCUGGCGGCAUGCCUAACACAUGCAAGUCGAACGGGGAAAGUAGCAAUAUGAGUACUAGUGGCGCACGGGUGAGGAGCGCGUGGGUAAUCUGCCUUCGAGCGGGGGAUAACUAGUCGAAAGAUUAGCUAAUACCGCAUAAGACCACAAGAUCUGCGGAUCUAGGGGUCAAAGCAGCAAUGCACUUGAAGAUGAGCCCGCGUAAGAUUAGCUAGUUGGUGAGGUAACGGCUCACCAAGGCGAUGAUCUUUAGCUGGUCUGAGAGGAUGAUCAGCCACACUGGAACUGAGACACGGUCCAGACUCCUACGGGAGGCAGCAGUAGGGAAUAUUGCGCAAUGGGGGCAACCCUGACGCAGCGACGCCGCGUGAGUGAUGAAGGCCUUCGGGUCGUAAAGCUCUGUUAUAUGGGAAUAAGUUCUGAAUGUACCAUGUGAGAAAGGAUCGGCUAACUUCGUGCCAGCCGCCGCGGUAA